This 588-nucleotide ribosomal RNA is filed under the name Hanseniaspora uvarum. RNAcentral describes it as "LSU rRNA". It matches the Rfam family "Eukaryotic large subunit ribosomal RNA", at positions 37 to 626 of the family's 3401-position model. The record is from RNAcentral. Lineage: Eukaryota; Fungi; Ascomycota; Saccharomycetes; Saccharomycodales; Saccharomycodaceae.
UGCAUAUCCAAAAAGCGGAGGAAAAGAAACCAACUGGGAUUACCUUAGUAACGGCGAGUGAAGCGGUAAAAGCUCAAAUUUGAAAUCUGGUACUUUCAGUGCCCGAGUUGUAAUUUGUAGAAUUUGUCUUUGAUUAGGUCCUUGUCUAUGUUCCUUGGAACAGGACGUCAUAGAGGGUGAGAAUCCCGUUUGGCGAGGAUACCUUUUCUCUGUAAGACUUUUUCGAAGAGUCGAGUUGUUUGGGAAUGCAGCUCAAAGUGGGUGGUAAAUUCCAUCUAAAGCUAAAUAUUGGCGAGAGACCGAUAGCGAACAAGUACAGUGAUGGAAAGAUGAAAAGAACUUUGAAAAGAGAGUGAAAAAGUACGUGAAAUUGUUGAAAGGGAAGGGCAUUUGAUCAGACAUGGUGUUUUUUGCAUGCACUCGCCUCUCGUGGGCUUGGGCCUCUCAAAAAUUUCACUGGGCCAACAUCAAUUCUGGCAGCAGGAUAAAUCAUUAAGAAUGUAGCUACUUCGGUAGUGUUAUAGCUUUUUGGAAUACUGUUAGCCGGGAUUGAGGACUGCGCUCGGCAAGGAUGUGCAAAAACGAGUU